UGGGGAAUUUUGGACAAUGGGCGCAAGCCUGAUCCAGCCAUGCCGCGUGUCUGAAGAAGGCCUUCGGGUUGUAAAGGACUUUUGUCAGGGAAGAAAAGGAUAGGGUUAAUACCCCUGUCUGAUGACGGUACCUGAAGAAUAAGCACCGGCUAACUACGUGCCAGCAGCCGCGGUAAUACGUAGGGUGCGAGCGUUAAUCGGAAUUACUGGGCGUAAAGCGGGCGCAGACGGUUACUUAAGCAGGAUGUGAAAUCCCCGGGCUCAACCUGGGAACUGCGUUCUGAACUGGGUGACUCGAGUGUGUCAGAGGGAGGUAGAAUUCCACGUGUAGCAGUGAAAUGCGUAGAGAUGUGGAGGAAUACCGGUGGCGAAGGCAGCCUCCUGGGAUAACACUGACGUUCAUGCCCGAAAGCGUGGGUAGCAAACAGGAUUAGAUACCCUGGUAGUCCACGCCCUAAACGAUGUCGAUUAGCUGUUGGGCAGCUUGACUGCUUAGUAGCGAAGCUAACGCGUGAAAUCGACCGCCUGGGGAGUACGGUCGCAAGAUUA
RNAcentral lists this ribosomal RNA (549 nucleotides) under uncultured bacterium. RNAcentral describes it as "bacterial SSU rRNA". It matches the Rfam family "Bacterial small subunit ribosomal RNA", at positions 355 to 896 of the family's 1533-position model. The record is from RNAcentral.